CCCCCCCCCGAGCACAGGCUGAAACACGAGGGUGUGGGUAACAAACAGGAUUAGAGACCCUGGUAGUCCACACUGUAAACGAUGAAGAAAAUGUUAAUGCAACCCCGAAAGGUAGUAAUCUUCCGCCUGAGUAGUACGAUCGCAAGAUUAAAAUUCCAAAAAUUUGGCUGUUCACUGUUUCGAUUAGAGGAGCGUGUAGUUUAAUUCGAUAAACCGCGAGAUACCUUACCCAAACUUGAAUCACCCAUCCGAGAUUGAAUGGUCUCGGGAGGGUAGACCGGUAUUGCAUGGCCGUCGUCAGUUCGUGUAUGAAACCUUUAACGGACCUAACCCGGGGGGUUAGCCGCGGAUGAAGUCAGGUCUUAUGAUCCCUAUGUUUGGGGAUAAUAUGCGCUACAUUUUCUUAUACAAUGGGAAACCUGAAAGGUGAAACCCAAAAGUAGGAGUUCGGUAGGUCAUUGUAAGAUGACCGAAAGUUGAAUUUAAUAGUAAUCGGAAAGUAGAGCGUUCCGGUGAAAUGAUCUAAGUGUUAGCACAAAUCGCCCGUCACCUUAACUUAGAACGAUAGUACGGACGCAGCCCUGCCAGCUCGCAAUGUCGAGGCCCCCCCCUCGA
Molecule: ribosomal RNA, 615 nt
Filed under: Epizoanthus protoporos
Lineage: Eukaryota; Metazoa; Cnidaria; Anthozoa; Zoantharia; Epizoanthidae
Description: partial small subunit ribosomal RNA
Rfam family: Bacterial small subunit ribosomal RNA
Source: RNAcentral